Molecule: non-coding RNA, 4490 nt
Organism: Punica granatum (pomegranate)
Lineage: Eukaryota; Viridiplantae; Streptophyta; Magnoliopsida; Myrtales; Lythraceae
Source: RefSeq, a predicted model, not a curated record
CUCAUCAGUUUCCUUCCCAUUCUUCUGUUUGUUUUACGAUCCAUUGCUGAAUUUUUUCUGCCCAUAGAGCAAAACUGAUGCAGAAAGAGAUGUUGGGAUUUCUUUUCUUCUGUGUGUGUCUGUUGUUUGGCUUAUGUUCGUGUUGUGGUUUCACUGUUUGCGCGUGGUUCCUCUGUACGAAGAAAAUAGAGACUGCAAUGGGCCAACAAAAGGAGGAGGCUGCUGAAAAAGAGGAUGAUUCAGAAGCAUCAGUCUCUUCUGACUACGAAGUGUUCCUAAGUUUCAGAGGACCAGAUUCCCGGCAGGGCCACGCCGAUGUCCUCUACAACGACAUGAGAACGGCCGGGAUCCGUGUUUUUGGAGACGACGAUGAGCUUGACAUCGGUGAUAAGAUCGGUAAGAUCCUACCGGCUAUCGAGAAAUCCAAGAUAUGCGUACCAAUCUUCUCCAGUACCUUUGCUGCCAGUGCGUGGUGCCUCCGAGAAGUUGAAAGAAUGGUCGAAUUCAAGAAAAAGAUCAUGCCGAUUUUCUACACGGCCACACCAGAAGAUGUUAAGCUGGGCACGGAAUUAUUCAAGAAGGAACUACGGAAGCACGAGAAGAAGCAUGGAAAAGAGCAAGUGAAGAAGUGGGAGGAGGCUCUCAAAAUGGUCGCUAGAAUCAAAGGGCGGGAAGUUAAGGCCACAGGAUUUGCGAAAUUCAGCAAGUUGUUUGUCAGAGCACUUCUGAUCAAGUUGGAGGUGAAAACAAAGUAUUUGACUGACAGCCUAGUUAAAAGAGAUGAUCAUGAAGAGAAACUAUUGAAAUUGUUGGACAUCGACUCAAGUGAUGUACGAAUUAUUGGCAUCCAUGGAAUGGGUGGCAUUGGUAAGACGACUCUUGCCAAGGUCAUCUUCAACCAACUCUCAGCUAGAUUCGACUGUUGCAGCUUCCUUGAGAACAUCCAAGAGUCCUUAAGGCGUAAUGGUCUUCAAUACUUGCAAAAGCAGUUGGUGGAAGAUCUCGAUCCAAAGUUGAAAAACUUUCAAAAGAUCGACACUAUGACAAUGCUCCGAGAAAAUUUUCGUAGGAGGAGGGCUCUCAUUGUCCUUGAUGAUGUUAAUCAAAGAAAACAAAUAGAGAUGAUAGUUGGGAUGUUGGGUUGGUUUGGUUCUGGAAGCAGGAUAAUCAUAACGACUAGGGACAUAAGUAUUUUCACCAAAGAAGCUCGUACUCUUGUUAUGCAGGAGAUGGAUCGUGACCAAGCUCUCCAACUUUUCAGUAGACAUGCCUUUGGAGAAGACUCUCCUCCAAGUGACUUCCGAAUUCUUUCAGACGAAGUUAUCUCUCUUACUGGAAGACUUCCUUUGGCCAUCGAAGUCAUAGGUUCCCUUCUUUAUCAACGUGAGAAGAAGAGAUGGAAAGCGACAAUUGAGCGGCUAAAGAAUGUGCCCAAUCGAGAUGUCCAAGAAAAGCUGAAGAUAAGUUUUGAUGCAUUGGAGUUUGACCAAAAACAGAUAUUUCUUGACAUAGCCUGCUUUUUCAUCAACAAGGAGAGAUCGAAUGCAAUUCUAAUGUGGGAAGCUUGUGACUUUUACCCUGAUGAUGGAAUUGAGGUCCUUGUUUCCAUGUCUUUGGUGAAAAUUACGGGCAAUAAAUUUCAAAUGCAUGACCUGAUCAAAGAUCUUGGAAGGGAACUUGUUCGCGAGGAAUGCUUUGGUGAUCCUACCAAGCGUAGCAGGAUAUGGUCAAGCAAAGAAGCAAAGGAGCUAUUGAAGAUAAAGCAGGAAAAAGAAAAUGUUGAAGGGCUCUUUCUGGAGAAAUUAUAUGGCGACGGCAUUCUCAAACAUGAGCAGUUUUCAGGUUUUCGAAAUCUAAGAUUACUGAAAUUGGUGGGUGCAAAGCUGACAGGUGACUUUGAGAAUCUCCUUCCAAAGUUAAAGUGGUUCACAUGGCAACGAUGUCCUUCCGAUUUUGCUGCGACCAAUUUAACAUUGGAGAACUUAGUGGUUCUUGACCUUUCCGACAGUUUCAUCACUGAAAACUGGGUUGGCUGGAACAUGAUUCAGAUAGCAAAGAAUUUGAAGGCCUUAGACCUCACUGGGUGCUGUAACUUGACAAGUACACCUGACUUGUCCAACAAUGACGCUUUAGAGAAAUUGAUUCUCAGAGGAUGCCGUAAUUUAGCUGAAAUACACGGCUCCAUCAAGAAGCUGACAAGACUGAAGCAUCUUGAUCUUCAGGGCUGUCCUUCUCUCGGAGGGUUGCCCGAAGAGAUAGGUUCGCUUGAAGAUUUGGAAGAGAUUUUGGUGGAAGGGAAUCAUGGAGCUACUUUCCACUUACCAGAAUCAAUUGGUAAUUUACACUCUCUAUCUGUCAUGAAAUUACAUCGGGUGGAAAUUACGAGAAUUCCCUACUCUAUUGGAGGAUUGGUGAAUCUCACGCACCUCUCUAUGCGCUAUUGUAGUGGCAUGAAGACACUUCCAGACAUAAUCGGAGGAUUUGGAAUCAUUGGUUGAAUUAGAUCUGGACGACACAAAUUUAAGUGCAUUGCCUGACUCUGUUGGACGACUAAGUAAACUCCUGUGGUUGCGGUUAAGUUCAACGAAGAUAGAAGAGCUUCCUGACUCUCUUGGGGAUUUGGAAUCAUUGAUUGAGUUACAGCUGUCCAACACAAAUUUAAGUGCGUUGCCUGACUCUGUUGGACGACUAAGUAAACUCCGGCGGUUGCGGUUAAGUUCAACGAAGAUAGAGGAGCUUCCUGACUCUCUUGGGGAUUUGGAAUCAUUGGUUCAGUUAUAUCUGGACAAGACAAAUUUAAGUGCGUUGCCUGACUCUGUUGGACGACUAAGUAAACUAGAGGUGUUGGGGUUAGAUUCAACGAAGAUAGAGGAGCUUCCUGACUCUCUUGGGGAUUUGAAAUCGUUGGAAACAUUGGAUCUGAGUUCAUCCAAACUGAGGAUUCUACCAGAUUCUGUGGGAGAGAUGUCUGAAUUAAGGCACUUGUUGCUGGAUGAAUGCAACAUAAGAAAGUUGCCUAGUUCUAUCGGGAAGUUAGCAAGGCUAGAAUAUUUGGAGUUGGGAGGUUUGAGCUUGCAAUGCCUCCCGCAGCUCCCAGAUUUCUCCAACUUGAAGAAGCUGCAGAGCAUUGAUUUCGAAGAUUGGUUCGUAAAAGUUGCAGGGACUAAGAUUGACAAGCAUGCGUGUGGAGUUGCUCGGAGGAGAUGGUCAGGUUUUCCUGCCAGAUGGGAAAUUUGACGUCGCUGGAUAUUUCUCACGCUUGGAAAAUCUCAAGAAGUUACGUCUAAGCUAUUUGAACUGGGAUACCUGGCGGAAUUAGAUAUCCGGUACUGCGAUUCCCUGGAAAUGAUUGGGAAUCUGUCGGAAUCGAAAAGGCUAAAGGGGAUCUUUAUAAUGGAGUGCUCGAAGCUAAGAGAAAUCAGAGGCCUCAACAAAUUGUUCUUGGCAUCUAUACAGAUCGAGGGCUGCGGAUCUGUGGGAAGUUUCGAUGAAUUAGAAGUUGAGAACAAUGCCGAUUGAUGAGAAAAGAAAAAAGUGUCUGCCUGCAAUUCCGCACCUUACCUAAAAGGAAAGAUCCAGAGAGAGUGAAGAUUCAGUACUGCAGCAAUGGCGGGGUUGCAGAGAUCUGCGGUGUCUUUCAGGAGGCAGGGCUCCUCACUCCUCAGGCCUUGUGUGGGACGACAGGUUCCUCUCGGGGAAGCUCAACCAAGUGAACAACAAAGCCGGCGACGAGGCCAACAAGCCGAAAGAUCCUGACAGCAGGAAAGAACCGUCCCGCGAUUCCGAGAAGCUGUCAAGGACUGCCUGCAGUCCUCUUCCCCCGAUUGAGACGGCGGCCCUGGAGAGGAACCACAACUACAACCACACUUGACCUCUUCUCCCAGAACACGGAAAUGCUAGACUGUCCAGCGCGGCGGUGCAGGUUCGGCAAAUGGGGUCCUUUCUCCGCCGCCAAAAUUAGAACUUAAGCCAGGAAAUGUAUGGAAAUCUAAGGGAAAAGAAGAAGCCUCUGUGGGAAGACAAGAAGUUCCAUGUGGGAAGCUUUCGGCUGAAGAACAGAGAGCGGUUGUUUCUAGGACAUUCCCUGGGAUCACCGGACUUUUCAAUGGAAGAUUGUUACGCGCAUGCUUGCGUGUCUCUUACCCGCAUGGAAGCAUUCUGCUUCGGUGCAACAAGAUCAGUGAUCGCAUCAGUGAGACAAGGUGCAAGCUUUUCGUGAUGACUUCCACAUACAACAACUCAAGGUUCUAUGCUAAUGGCAGGAAAAAAACAAAUAUGAUGAACUGAGUAACAAUGCAUGCAAAUGUCAGUCUGAGCCAUGAUACUAUAGAUUAGGAAAAAUAUCGAUCCUGAUGCGGCAACUUGCCUCUUAAGCUGUUCUGGUAUUGACAUUUUAAACAGGUUCUGAACGUGAAUUGAGGUCUUGCGACGUGGCCCCUCAGGUCUUGUGAUAUUUCAUCCAAAUAAAUCAAACAUGUCAAUUGUUAGCA